RNAcentral lists this ribosomal RNA (429 nucleotides) under Gemmatimonadota bacterium. RNAcentral describes it as "Gemmatimonadetes bacterium partial 16S ribosomal RNA". It matches the Rfam family "Bacterial small subunit ribosomal RNA", at positions 355 to 776 of the family's 1533-position model. The record is from RNAcentral. Lineage: Bacteria; Pseudomonadati; Gemmatimonadota.
UAGGGAAUCUUCGGCAAUGGACGAAAGUCUGACCGAGCAACGCCGCGUGAGUGAAGAAGGUUUUCGGAUCGUAAAACUCUGUUGUUAGAGAAGAACAAGGACGUUAGUAACUGAACGUCCCCUGACGGUAUCUAACCAGAAAGCCACGGCUAACUACGUGCCAGCAGCCGCGGUAAUACGUAGGUGGCAAGCGUUGUCCGGAUUUAUUGGGCGUAAAGCGAGCGCAGGCGGUUUCUUAAGUCUGAUGUGAAAGCCCCCGGCUCAACCGGGGAGGGUCAUUGGAAGCUGGGAGACUUGAGUGCAGAAGAGGAGAGUAGAAUUCCAUGUGUAGCGGUGAAAUGCGUAGAUAUAUGGAGGAACACCAGUGGCGAAGGCGGCUCUCUGGUCUGUAACUGACGCUGAGGCUCGAAAGCGUGGGGAGCAAACAGG